AACGCAUCUUGCGCUCCUUGGUAUUCCGAGGAGCAUGCCUGUUUGAGUGUCAUUUAACUUCUCAACCACAUCAGAUUGAUGUUGGCUUGGAUGUGGGGGUUGUUUUUGCAGGCUUUCUGUAGAAGGUCGGCUCCCCUGAAAUGGAUUAGUGGUAUCUGAGGCUACUACUGUAGGUGUGAUAACUAUCUAUGCCUUUGGUAUGCCGCAUGAACAGAUUACACUGCUUCUAACAAAACAAAUUUUGAUAAAUUUGACCUCAAAUCAGGUAGGACUACCCGCUGAACUUAA
This 288-nucleotide unclassified non-coding RNA is filed under the name uncultured Inocybe. Its description in RNAcentral is "sequence contains ITS2". The stretch from base 1 to 52 matches the Rfam family "5.8S ribosomal RNA", at positions 103 to 154 of the family's 154-position model. Lineage: Eukaryota; Fungi; Basidiomycota; Agaricomycetes; Agaricales; Cortinariaceae. The record is from RNAcentral.